UACGAAGGGGGCUAGCGUUGCUCGGAAUCACUGGGCGUAAAGGGUGCGUAGGCGGGUCUUAAGUCAGAGGUGAAAUCCUGGAGCUCAACUCCAGAACUGCCUUUGAUACUGAGGGUCUUGAGUAUGACAGAGGUGAGUGGAACUGCGAGUGUAGAGGUGAAAUUCGUAGAUAUUCGCAAGAACACCAGUGGCGAAGGGCG
This 200-nucleotide ribosomal RNA is filed under the name uncultured bacterium. RNAcentral describes it as "partial 16S ribosomal RNA". It matches the Rfam family "Bacterial small subunit ribosomal RNA", at positions 524 to 724 of the family's 1533-position model. The record is from RNAcentral.